CAGGAGUAUAGUUUUAUGACCAGGUGGUAGUUUGACCCUUCCUCUGUACCCUGAACCUAAAGAAACACAUAUUUGGCAAGGCUUUCCUAGGAGUCUUUGACAUUUCCAGGAGUAUAGUUUUAUGACCAGGUGGUAGUGUGACCCUUCCUCUGUACCCUGAACCUAAAGAAACACAUAUUUGGCAAGGCUUUCCUAGGAGUCUUUGACAUUUCCAGGAGUAUAGUUUUAUGACCAGGUGGUAGUUUGACCCUUCCUCUGUACCAUGAACAUGAAGAAACACUCAUUAGAACCCGAUUGCCCCCCUCUUUGACCUUCAGAAAUACAGAACAUAGUUGACAUGAGAAGCAAAAGUGUCUUAUAAUACCAAUCCCAGGAUAUAGUUAAUAUUGUGUCAUCAAAACCCAGAUUAAAUUCAAACCUCUCCUGCGUCCAUCCCACUCUGAUUGGGCUCAUGUUAACGCCGCCCUGCACUGUGACGCCUUGUUUAAGAGGCCCCCGAGCCAAGAAGGACGGAACAGAGAGGGAGAAAGCUGUUGCUGAGAGGGAGAAAAUAUAAGAAAGAUUUUAAUGGAAGCGGCCAAGAUAGAUAAUGGAGAGAGAGAGAGAGAGAGAGAGAGAGAGAGAGAGAGAGAGAGAGAGAGAGAGAGAGAGAGAGAGAGAGAGAGAGAGAGAGAGAA
Molecule: long non-coding RNA, 677 nt
Organism: Eriocheir sinensis (Chinese mitten crab)
Lineage: Eukaryota; Metazoa; Arthropoda; Malacostraca; Decapoda; Varunidae
Exons: 2
Source: RefSeq, a predicted model, not a curated record